RNAcentral lists this transfer RNA (70 nucleotides) under Acidithiobacillus thiooxidans. Its description in RNAcentral is "tRNA-Arg". It matches the Rfam family "tRNA". From Rfam's summary of the family: Transfer RNA (tRNA) molecules are approximately 80 nucleotides in length. Lineage: Bacteria; Pseudomonadati; Pseudomonadota; Acidithiobacillia; Acidithiobacillales; Acidithiobacillaceae. RNAcentral also lists the same sequence under 2 other names. The record is from RNAcentral.
ACCCGCAUGGUGGAAUGGGAAGACACGAUGUUUGCGUAAGCAGUUGCUGGUUCGAGUCCGGCUGCGGGUC